This is a long non-coding RNA of Ictalurus punctatus (channel catfish), 1102 nucleotides long. The record is from Ensembl. NCBI's taxonomy places the organism in Eukaryota, Metazoa, Chordata, Actinopteri, Siluriformes, Ictaluridae.
GCAACCCGGAUACCGACCGUUAGUUUUGGCGAAAGACAAACUAUCCACUGCCAGUACACCUCUGGCUGUUCAAUGGCAUCACGAAUUGAGCGUCUCGCCCGGCCUAAUCCCAACCUACUUAAAUUCCCUGACAGCCCCCGAAGAUGUGUUGGUUUCUGCGCCAUCAUAAGUCACUGACAAAAGUUGCUUUUUUGCAUUUUGUUCAACGUACCCUAUCUCUUCAUACAUUCAGAGGGUGGGACCCUCAUUAAUUGGUGUCACUACAGGCGCUCCGUAUACUGGUUGGAUGAGCUUCCAGCAAAAUCAAAGCGGUCCACUACUGUCUUUGGUAAAAGCAUUUCUUUCAAGAAAUUAAGACUUUGGGUGCGUCUCAAUCAGCUCCCUAGUUUAGUAGUCAAGGCACUGAUCAGGAAGUGUGCCAUUUCCUUAAAAAAAUCCCACAAUGCCCCGCAAAAAAAGACGGACGACAAACUCUCAGCCAACUUCCAUCUACAAAUAGCUCACAUCACGUUGGUCCCAGCCGUCAGAGAGGAAAAAGAUUAGUACUCACUAUGAAGACAACAGAGAGUCUCCUGAGUGGAAGGUGGGCGCAGCCACAUUAAAGGCUCGUCCCUCUGAAAGAGUGUGUUCACUCGCUCGACCCCGUCAGCCUGCAGUCGGCUGGCAGCCUGAUCGCCCCCUAUUGACCACAUAUGGUAUGGGAGUGAGAACUAUAGCUAAAGCCAGUCCUCGGAUCUGCCAGUUGGCUCAACCAAAAAAGUCAAGAAUGCCAUUGACUCCAGCAUUCAACAGCACUAAUAGCUGUUUGACACUUCUCCCACAAGCCAAGCCUUCUUCUCAUAUACACCUCCUGGCCAUUCCUAAAAAGGAGCAUCCUCAUUAUCGUCCAAACCAACCUGUGUCAUCGCACGUGCCAAGGUCCGUCCUGGAAGCUGUAGCCAGUGAGAGGCUGCAGGUGCUGGCCAUACCAAAGCCCCGCAAUCCUCUUUAUGAGGGAUUCGAUCCCUAUAAAGUGAGCUUGGCUGCUCGUGUUGCUACUGCAUCCCCAAGAAUACAGGAACUGUCACAACCCCCGGCACGCAGGUGCAGGAAAACAUCAGCC